UACGUAGGGGGCAAGCGUUGUCCGGAAUCAUUGGGCGUAAAGAGCGUGUAGGCGGCCAGAAAAGUCCGCUGUGAAAACUCGAGGCUCAACUUCGAGCUGUCGGUGGAAACUUUCUGGCUAGAGUCCGGAAGAGGAGAAUGGAACUCCUGGUGUAGCGGUGAAAUGCGCAGAUAUCAGGAAGAACACCCGUGGCGAAGGCGGUUCUCUGGGACGGUACUGACGCUGAGACGCGAAAGCGUGGGGAGCGAACAGG
Molecule: ribosomal RNA, 253 nt
Filed under: uncultured bacterium
Lineage: Bacteria
Description: partial 16S ribosomal RNA
Rfam family: Bacterial small subunit ribosomal RNA
Source: RNAcentral